RNAcentral lists this long non-coding RNA (267 nucleotides) under Monodelphis domestica (gray short-tailed opossum). RNAcentral's name for it is "lncRNA (ENSMODG00000036008.2)". The record is from RNAcentral. Lineage: Eukaryota; Metazoa; Chordata; Mammalia; Didelphimorphia; Didelphidae.
AUUCAGUUGAGAGAGAAACUGUCUCUCUGGAGCUGAAGAGGAAAGGAGAGAGAAGUGUGGCUGAAUCUAAGAUCAAUUCCCAAGGCAAUAGCCUGUGAAGAUCCUUUGGCUGUGGUGAGGAUUUAUUUUUCAAUCAUCUGCUGGUCAGGGAUUGAGGAGCUGUCUUCAACUUGGAGGAGUUAUCAUCUGUGGACAUUUCACCUUGGAUUCCUGUUUUGGCUCCCAGAGACUCUAUUAAAGCCAUCCCUUAUGAAAAAGAAUUUUUAA